UGUUGCCACGUCAAUUAAUGAAGUCAUCCAACGCUUCCUGAUUUUUGCUAUUUUCUUAUUUCUGAUUUUAUUUUCUUUAAUUCCUUUUUAUUUCAAAAAUUCAUAACUCUAUCAUUUUUAAUCCAAAAAUUAUGGGACCAAUUGCAUUCUUCUCCAAAUAAAUUCUAGUUUCUUUUUCUGAUUUUUAAUUUAUUUUAUUUUAUCAUUUGAUAUUUUUUUGUGAAUUUUCUCUUUUCUGGUUAUUUUUAAUUCAUUUUAAAU
RNAcentral lists this long non-coding RNA (261 nucleotides) under Lathyrus oleraceus (garden pea). RNAcentral describes it as "Pisum sativum (pea) long non-coding RNA (PSAT_LNC000635)". Lineage: Eukaryota; Viridiplantae; Streptophyta; Magnoliopsida; Fabales; Fabaceae. The record is from RNAcentral.